RNAcentral lists this ribosomal RNA (279 nucleotides) under uncultured bacterium. RNAcentral describes it as "partial 16S ribosomal RNA". It matches the Rfam family "Bacterial small subunit ribosomal RNA", at positions 75 to 353 of the family's 1533-position model. The record is from RNAcentral.
CUUGCUUUCUUUGCUGGCGACCGGCGCACGGGUGAGUAACACGUAUCCAACCUGCCCUUUACUCGGGGGUAGCCUUUCGAAAGAAAGAUUAAUACCCGAUAGUAUAAUGAUUCCGCAUGGUUUCAUUAUUAAAGGAUUCCGGUAAAGGAUGGGGAUGCGUUCCAUUAGGUUGUUGGUGAGGUAACGGCUCACCAAGCCUUCGAUGGAUAGGGGUUCUGAGAGGAAGGUCCCCCACAUUGGAACUGAGACACGGUCCAAACUCCUACGGGAGGCAGCAUG